CCUACGGGCGGCAGCAGUGUGGAAUAUUGCACAAUGGGGGAAACCCUGAUGCAGCGACGCCGCGUGAAGGAAGAAGUAUUUCGGUAUGUAAACUUCUAUCAGCAGGGAAGAAAAUGACGGUACCUGACUAAGACGCCCCGGCUAACUACGUGCCAGCAGCCGCGGUACUACGUAGGGGGCAAGCGUUAUCCGGAUUUACUGGGUGUAAGGGGAGCGUAGGCGGCGAUGCAAGUCAGAAGUGAAAGCCCGGGGCUCAACUCCGGGACUGCUUUUGAAACUGUGUUGCUAGAUUGCAGGAGAGGUAAGUGGAAUUCCUAGUGUAGCGGUGAAAUGCGUAGAUAUUAGGAGGAACACCAGUGGCGAAGGCGGCUUACUGGACUGUAAAUGACGCUGAGGCUCGAAAGCGUGGGGAGCAAACAGGAUUAGAUACCCCUGUAGUC
RNAcentral lists this ribosomal RNA (440 nucleotides) under uncultured bacterium. RNAcentral describes it as "partial 16S ribosomal RNA". It matches the Rfam family "Bacterial small subunit ribosomal RNA", at positions 338 to 795 of the family's 1533-position model. The record is from RNAcentral.